UACGUAGGGCGCAAGCGUUGUUCGGAAUUACUGGGCGUAAAGGGCGCGUAGGCGGCCUUCUAAGUCGAACGUGAAAUCCCUGGGCUCAACCCAGGAACUGCGUCCGAUACUGGAAGGCUUGAAUCCGGGAGAGGGAUGCGGAAUUCCAGGUGUAGCGGUGAAAUGCGUAGAUAUCUGGAGGAACACCGGUGGCGAAGGCGGCAUCCUGGACCGGUAUUGACGCUGAGGCGCGAAAGCCAGGGGAGCAAACGGG
Molecule: ribosomal RNA, 253 nt
Filed under: uncultured bacterium
Lineage: Bacteria
Description: partial 16S ribosomal RNA
Rfam family: Bacterial small subunit ribosomal RNA
Source: RNAcentral